RNAcentral lists this long non-coding RNA (225 nucleotides) under Brassica rapa (field mustard). Its description in RNAcentral is "long non-coding RNA (BRAP_LNC007526)". Lineage: Eukaryota; Viridiplantae; Streptophyta; Magnoliopsida; Brassicales; Brassicaceae. The record is from RNAcentral.
UUCUCGUUGCAAGAAAGAACUUUAAGUCAUUCAAAAACUUGCUCUUAAGUUUUUAGUUAAAAAUUAAAAAACAGUUUCUUAUAUUCUGCUAAGAACCUAACCCUAAGAAUUCUGCUCUUAUGUAAGUGUGGCUAAAGCACUCAUAGUUAAUAUUUUUUAAUAUAUAGGCAUUUAGUGGUUGUUUGCUCUGUUUAGCAUUCAAGUAUCUAGUCUCUUUCGUUGUUU